AUGUAUUAGGACCACAGGUCUCAUCAAAAUACCUUUUUAUGUAUUCCAAAGAAGAAAGAGGUCGUACAGGAUUGGAAACACAUGAGAAUUAGUAUAUGAUGACAGAAUUUUCAUUUUUCUUUUUAGUAUUAAACAGUGAGAGCCUUUGCCUGUUGUUCAUGAUCAGUGUUCCAGAAAUUCCCUUAGUGCUGUCGUUUAUGUUGAGCUUUUUAAUGGUCCUGUCCGAUUCUCUGCUUUAAGCCUGUAUCUAGACAGAAGCCUUGAAUGUGUUUGAGUACAGAUAAGCUGCACAACAGGCUGAGGAGUGAAGGCAUCUUCUCUUUCAUGAAAUAAACAGGUGAGAAUCUCGACACCAGGGCCUCAGUGCCUUCGCUUGCAGAGCUCAGCUCCUCUGAAUUCCCGCUGAGAUCCAAGACCUUCAGAGCGGGAUGUGUGGUCAACAGUUAUAGGUCAGGAGACUCAGAUUGUCCUUGUGUGGUGAAAACAAAGGAUUUAGUGCUUGUAACCUUUCACAGCUUCAGGUAGAAACCUGAGUCUACCUUGUAUGGCAGAUUGUUAGAUGUACACUAAAAGUCUCCUUGCAAGUCUUAUUGUGGGAUCUGAAGAUGAAAACCAUUCUCAAGCAUAAUGGGGUUAUGUAGAUUAGCUCAUUUUGUAAUAAUUAUGGAAGUUAGUUGUUCCAACUGGUAACGUUUAGAACUCAUCUGAAGGCUGUUUGAUAAUCAAACACGGUGAUAAUUUGUUGGAGAUUAAGGGAAGGAGGAGGCACACCAAAAACACCCCAUCAUUACAGCACAUCUGGUCUCCGUUCUCUUCAAAAACCAUGUCACAGCUGACUCAGGCCCUCAAAUCUGGAAGAAAGUGCAGGGGAAUUUCCACUAAUGAAUCCAACAACCACACGAUGAGGCCUCUUUGUGCAGGGACUUCAAUGGAAGCCACAUUCAGAGCAGGCACAGCGAGUCACAAUCAAAGGCACCGCCAAUCCGUUACCACGGGAGCAAAUCUGCAGCUUGUAACUGAACAGACAUCUGUUUCCAUGACAGCUGUCUGGAACGGCAUCAGCCUAACUAACUGCUGCCUCAGAACUAGUCUGACUGUUUGAUAUCUCUUGUGAUAAAGACAGAGACGAUUCUGUCAGAAACCCUCGUCACUUGUUGUUGUGAUGCGCUAAUGCGAAAAGAGAAGUUUGCAUUUGUGUUUAUUUUGUUGGUCUUUGAAGCUGCCGCAAUCAGAGGCUGCAAAAUAUUGGAAGGGAGAAGAAACGUACCCGAGAGAAGUAAACAUACGGAGCGAACUACCCCGGUGUGUUCGACGGAAGCCGCUUCAGAGCGACAAAAGGGAAGUACAAGUUAAACAACAACAUUUCUGACAUAAUGUUUAUUACAGCAAAAUUCAUUUCCACCCUCCCCUCCUUUUCUUAAACAAUCAAACAUCUGUUUUCACAGUGAGAAACUUACAGUGAAGUGAAUGGGGCCAUGUUGAGUCAGUGUAAUUUUUCAUUACAAUGUCAUAAGUGAAUAAUCUUAAAGUAAAAUGGCAGAUUUCUUUCUUGUGACCAGGGGCGUCGGACUGGGGGUAAAACCAGUACUGCUUGUGACACUAGACUUUACCAACUAUUUUGCCUAAUAUGUAAAAUUAAGUCCCGUCCCAUUUUUUUUUUUUCUUUUCAAUAAUCUAUUUCACUUGGCUAUACAUCACAAUAUGUUUUAAAUGAUCUGUCGCUACUUCCGUUACAAAAUAAAUAAAAAAAUUGGUUCCAUUUGCUUCCAUUUCAACUGCCACAAAUGCUAUACUAAUAAAACUUAACUUCACUAAACUUAAAAUAUUCCUUUUAUUAUGCCAAUAUCUCUGUAGUUCUACAUUGUUUAGACGCCUGCCUGGUGGUCUGCUGUUUGAAAGGGCAAGGCCUGCCCGCAGAGAGGGGCUUGACAAGCAGAGCGCAGUGUUAUCCAACGCGAGCUCUUCUUUGCUGCAGGCGGCUCCGUCCCAAACCUCAGCCCUAUCUUGAGUGAACAUCACACAGCCGAGAUGAAAAAGCGGGAAAUCGAUGCAGGGGAGCGCGCGCCAUGUAGAGAGCCUGGCUUUGCUUUGAUCGAAGGCUGACUGACAAGACCUUCAGCCCUGUGAUCUCCGGCAUGAUGAAGGACCGGAGCCGUGGUGGCGCAACAACACAAGUACAGAGGGGGUGUGAGACAGAGGGCUCUGUCUGCAUCUAAAGCCUGCUGGGAAAGGCUGUACUCUCAUCUCCCACACAGCAGAAUGCAUAUGCACCAAAAUCCUCUUCACUUUAAAACAACCUUCCCCUUCAGCCUCCUCUGGUACUCCCGACGGGUCAUCACAUGAAGCGUGUCCUCUGGUCUACCUUUGCUGGGGAUGGUGACCUUCACAGAGGCUUGAGAGAUGCCUCGGACCAGAGCAUUGUGGGUACUCUAAGACUGAGUGACAUACACAGCAUGGAAGCACUGGCGAGGAGCUUUGCUGAACCUUGUGAUCCAUGUCACUGCCUCAAUGGGACACACACACCCGAUAUAAAUCCACUGACAUUACAGCGGAUUGAUGUUUAUAUACAAGAGUUUUCAGCUGAAAAGCUGCAUUACCACUGAAAGAGUGACCAUAAUGCAUUGUGGUUCAGAAGAUUCAUGUCUCUCUCUUCUGUGAUUUUUUACCUUCUGCCAAGCUUAAAGAAUGAAAUGAGAGAUUGUAGAUUACUGUAGAUGUCAGAUUUUGCUCCAGCACGCUAAAUUAACAGCUAAAGUAAACACUGUAAAGCUGAAUUGUGUAAUUUCUGUGCCAUUACUGGCAACAAAUAGAAUGGAAAAAGAUUACUCAUAAACACAUGUAUUUUUAAUUAUAUAAUGAUAUGUUUUUAUAAUUUUUUUAUUACACUACUGCUCUACAAUGGUGGGGUCAGUAAAAUUUUUUUGUGUCUCAUGCUCACCAAGGCUGCAUUUAUUUGAUCAAAAAUACAGUAAAAAUAGUAAUAUUGUGAUAUAAUAAAUAUAUGAUUACAAUUUAAAAUAACUCAAUUCUGUUUUCAUACAUUUUGAAAGGUCAUUUAUUCCUGUAAUGGCAAAGCUGAAUUUUCAGCAGUCAUUGUUUCAGUUUCCAGUGUCACAUGAUCCUUCAGAAAUUAUUCUUAUAUGCGAAUUUGGUGCUCAAAAAAAUUCUUAUGAUUAUCAAUUUUAAAAUGGUUAUGCUACUUGAUAUUUUUGUGGAAACUGUGAUAGCAUUUUUUUUUUCAGGAAUGAUGCA
Molecule: long non-coding RNA, 3252 nt
Organism: Cyprinus carpio carpio
Lineage: Eukaryota; Metazoa; Chordata; Actinopteri; Cypriniformes; Cyprinidae
Source: Ensembl